RNAcentral lists this ribosomal RNA (483 nucleotides) under uncultured bacterium. RNAcentral's name for it is "partial 16S ribosomal RNA". It matches the Rfam family "Bacterial small subunit ribosomal RNA", at positions 28 to 523 of the family's 1533-position model. The record is from RNAcentral.
GACGAACGCUGGCGGCGUGCUUAACACAUGCAAGUCGAACGGUGAAAGCGGAGCUUGCUCCGCUGGAUCAGUGGCGAACGGGUGAGUAACACGUUGGCAACCUGCCCCUGACUUCGGGAUAACUCCUCGACCGCGGUGCUAAUACCGGAUACGAAUCCUGCAGGCAUCUGCUGGAUUGGAAAGUUUUUCGGUCAAGGAUGGACUCGCAGCCUAUCAGCUAGUUGGUGAGGUAAAGGCUCACCAAGGCGACGACGGGUAGCCGGCCUGAGAGGGUGACCGGCCACACUGGGACUGAGACACGGCCCAGACUCCGACGGGAGGCAGCAGUGGGGAAUAUUGCACAAUGGGCGCAAGCCUGAUGCAGCAACGCCGCGUGAGGGAUGACGGCCUUCGGGUUGUAAACCUCUUUUAGUAGGGAAGAAGCGAAAGUGACGGUACCUGCAGAAAAAGCACCGGCUAACUACGUGCCAGCCGCCGCGGUAA